CCACGCCUGGCUAAUUUUUAUGUUUUUAGUACAGACUGGGUUUCAUCAUGUUGCCCAGGCUAGUCUUGAGCUCCUGAGCUCAAGGUAUCUGCCCACCUCAGGAGUGCUGGGAUUACAUGAGUAUGCUACCAUGCCCUACCUUAUCUCUUAUUAGUGAAAUUUAUAUACUUUAUUGAAGGAUUUUCUGGGGAAUUCUGAAAUGAAAUAUUUUAGGUUUUUUUUUUUACACUGUGAACCAGCUUGUGUGGGUUUUUUUUUUUUUUUUUUGCCUCCUGUAUUGUUUUCCUCAGAAAGUCACUGAAUACCCAUGCAAAAAAAUCUGUCAUGGAACAUUACAUUAUCUGUACAUGACUACAGAAGUUUUGGGUUUUUUCCAAUUUGUUUUGAUAGCAAUUACAUUUUUCCUAUUUUUCUUGAGGUAAGCAAUGUAUCUUUGCCAUAUAUUAUGAAAGAACUAAGAGAUAUACUUAUUCAUGUUACAGUACACAUUAACCACUUCACGGUGGCAGUUGUAAAGGUUAAUACUUUAAAUGCCGCUGCAUUUUAAUUUGACAUUUGACUACAGAAAUUUAAAUGUCUACAUGUAUUCAGCAUAUUGUUUUAUAUAUUCAUAUUUUUAUAUGUAUCAGUCACCUUUAUCUGCAAAUAGAUCACAAUCUUAGAUAGUAUUAACUCAGAGAACAUGAGUGGAUAGGUAGCUGAAGAAUCACUAAGUAUUUUUUAAAAUAAAAUCAGGAAUUUUUGUGUGGGGGCGCUAGGGGGAAAUAUUUGAUUUGUGGAUGGGGAAAACAAGUUAACUAUCACUGAAGCAGAACAUUUUGGAAAUUUCUUUUUGUCAGUGAGGAGCAAAAAACUGACUCUGAUCUAAGAGUUUGGCUGUAAGUGCUCUCACAAAAGGGACUUCAUAUUAAAAAAGUAAAUGCAAGGUAGGCUUAUAACUAGAAGUUAUUUGAGACAAGAAUGACAUAAAGCCAGGGAUUUCUCCAAGGAAAGUUGUUUGGGAAAAGGAAUUGGGAAUAAUUGAGUUUUACAGGUAAGUGUCUCCCUUGGUGAUCAAUCAGAGUGAGAAAAGCAUCUGUUUUAUAAGAGUGCCAUGUAGAAUUUAAUUAAAGGGGGAGCUAUCAAAGAUGAGCAAGAAGUUUGUGUCAUCCAAGUGCGUAUAGUUGCUAUACUCCCAAACAGAGGAUGUUAUCUAGAGUUGGAAGCUAAAUGGAAAAGUCAGGGGAAUAAGGACCUAUGCUUAAGAGAAAUGAGUAGAGGCUAUGUCUCUACUAAAGACGCAACAUGAAGAGUUGGUAAGAGUAAUGAGUAAUUUAAUGCAUUAGUUUAAAAAUACAUGAAGAUAAAAGAUGAAAUGAUACUGUGUUCUGUGUUAAUAUUAAGAGUCUUGAAAUUUUGUAUUGCCUAUAUUCAUUCAAUAACCUGAAAGGACUUGAUUGAUACCAGUAUAUAGUAGGUUAAACCAUAUAAAAUUUCCAUCAUUCAACCAUUUUAGCCUAUGAAAAUUUUGUAUGGGUAAAAUUAAAGCCUUUGUAGUGAAUAUGAUUAUGCUUUCCCAUUUAAGCAAUGGGAAACAUAAACAACAUUUAUUUUGUCAUUUUCCUGGAUUAAACUAAAACUGACAUCUUCUGAGUUUUAACUAGCUAAAUGGAUGUUAAAGGAAAAAAGUAAUGCUGAGAAUUCUGGGAAGAUAGCAGUGGUAUCAAAAGGCAUACAAAUUCCCACAAAACUUAGUUAACUAGAUAGCAAAACCAAAAACCCAUGAUUAAUAUUUAUAACAAAAUGAGGUGAUAAGGUAUCCUCAUGAACCCCAAAACAUGUGUUGGUGGGGACAAACCACCAGCAACCACAGGACCUGCUUGGUAUCAGCAUCUGUGCUAAAAGAAGCAGUAAGUACAACAUGGUUGGCAUCUGACAGCACUGAGAAAAGGAGAACCUCAGAAGAGCUAAUAGAUCCUCACUGGGAAGCAAAGUGGGCUAAUUUAAACAUAGAAGCUGACUGAGAGGGGUUUUGCCCUUUAGCACAUGAUCACAAUAGAUCUGCACUAAGGAGGACUUAAAGGGGCUCAGGCAAUGUCAAAAUAGACCCAGGAGGGCUCCAGGACCCCAUACUGAGGAGAAAUUUCAGGAAAUGAAAAUUGAAAAGGGUUGAGACAUGGUUAAGGAAGGAAACAGACCAGAUCAAAGUGGAGGAGAACAGAGCCUGGAAAGCUCAAAGCCAGCCUCCAUCAUUUUGAACAGUACAAAAACAACAGAGGGAGCUCUGUGAAGUUAGGAAAACUACCCUAAUUCACCUCAUUCUAAAAGUUGAGGGAAACUAAUCUCACAUAAAAACAGUAACAGGAAGUAUUAAGGUCAAAUCCUGUACAGUGUUACAAGAAAAAAAGUGAUGUGGAAUAGAACAACAUCCCUAGAGACAAUGAAAUCAAGACAAAAAUACGCCUGUAAAGGCGAAAACCGUAACCUUGCAUUUCAAAGCAAUCUACAAACAAGAAGAUGGUAUAAAACAUGAAAGAAAAACAGAAUCAGCAUUAGUAAAACUAAGAAAUGAAGUGACAGAGUUUAGGAAAAGAAUUAGAAAUAAAAAAUUAUUUCAUAAAUGGAAACUAAACAAGAAGGAACAUAAACAACGGAUAAUGGGUUAAGAAAAAUAGAAGAUGAAAAAAAUUUAAAAGAAGAGUCAACCUUUGGACAAGCGUCCGUGAAGAAGAAAACCAGAGCAGGGAAACAGAACGAAUACUGUAAAAAUACAAUUUAAGAUAAGAGACUUGAAACUACAUAUUGAAGAAACAUUCCAAGUGCCUGAGAAUAUCAACCAGGAAUAAUGAACAUCAGGAUAAAUUCCUUUAAAAUUACUGGACUUGAAAUCAUUUGGAAAUGUAGGGGGGGUGGGGAAGAUGGCAUGACUUAGAAAAUUAGGCUAUCAUCAAACUUUGAUAGCAGAAAGGCUUAAGGAAAAUGUGAGAGAUAAGUAUUUCAUAUCCUGCAUAACUGACUUAAUCAGAGCACAAACUAUUAGCAGGGAAUACUUUUCCAAUAAUCCCUUCAUGAGGAAUCUACUAGACAAAAGAAAAAUUUUAAAAAAAAAAAAAAAAAAAAAAAAAAGAACUAGAGACGUUAAAGACUGCUGAUUUAAAAGAAAAAAGAAAAAAAAAUGAUUUAAAAGCAAAGUGUAGUUAUUUAAUUAAAUAAUUUUUUCUACCUAAGUUCUUGUAGUUUGGAAAUAUAACUUCUGUGGAAUUUUACUUUCACAAACCUGAAGAAACUACAUCUACUUUAAACGUAACAAAUUUUAAGCCACUUAGCAUUUCUACAGUGAAAUUGAUGAUGUUAACCCGUUACUUGUAUAGAACUUUAUAGUAUACAAACACAUGGCUUUAUCUCUUUUAAACUGAAUUGCUUUUUAAAAAUUUCCAUUUAACACCUGUUACAAAAUUAUAUUGAAUUCCUUUGGUUGGUUCUCUGCUCCAUCUAGUGUGUUUCUGUGAACACUCAACACCAUCUUACUCUGUCCUUUUUGCCUACAAAGUCCUAAUUACUACUUUCUUUACCUGGUUAAAUUCUACUUCUUUCUUCCCACAAAGCAUUUCUUGAUUCUUUUGCUAGGCUGGACUAGUGUACAUUUCUGUAUGCUACAUACUUUAUUAGAUGUACUUUCCUCACCUGUAUGUAUUCAUGUGUGUCUCCCUGUCCUAUAGAUUGAAAGCUCACUGAGGGUAGAGAUCACUUCAAUCUUCAUAGUUCCAUGUGCCGUUCUCAGCAUAUCAUAGACACUCAUGAAAUAAAUAAGCUAUUACUGAGAGCCCUUCCCCUCAUUUGUAAUGUACAAAAAGUAAAAUCUCUAUUUGCUCAUAAAUUGCCAGGCAUUGAACACAAAUUAUAUCUGUAUUACAAAAAAUACACAUUAAAAUUCAUUGUUUUCUGUUA
Long non-coding RNA from Cebus imitator (Panamanian white-faced capuchin), 3927 nucleotides. RefSeq lists it as uncharacterized. NCBI's taxonomy places the organism in Eukaryota, Metazoa, Chordata, Mammalia, Primates, Cebidae. The record is from RefSeq and is a predicted model, not a curated record. The transcript is spliced from 2 exons.